GUGAACGCCCUCACGGGCUUAUACUAUUCCAAACCUCUGUGAACCGUGCCCUUCGGGGCUAUUUUACAAACAUGGUGUAAUGAACGUCAUCAUAAUAUCAUAACAAAACA
This 110-nucleotide unclassified non-coding RNA is filed under the name soil metagenome. RNAcentral describes it as "partial internal transcribed spacer 1". The record is from RNAcentral.